This 468-nucleotide ribosomal RNA is filed under the name uncultured bacterium. RNAcentral describes it as "partial 16S ribosomal RNA". It matches the Rfam family "Bacterial small subunit ribosomal RNA", at positions 28 to 507 of the family's 1533-position model. The record is from RNAcentral.
GACGAACGCUGGCGGCGUGCUUAACACAUGCAAGUCGAACGGAAAGGCCCUGCUUUUGUGGGGUGCUCGAGUGGCGAACGGGUGAGUAACACGUGAGUAACCUGCCCUUGAUUUUGGGAUAACUUCAGGAAACUGGGGCUAAUACCGGAUAGGAGCUCCCGCUGCAUGGUGGGGGUUGGAAAGUUUCGGCGGUUGGGGAUGGACGCGCGGCUUAUCAGCUUGUUGGUGGGGUAGUGGCUUACCCAGGCUUUGACGGGUAGCCGGCCUGGGAGGGUGACCGGCCACAUGGGGACUGAGAGACGGCCCAGAGGCCUACAGUAGGCAGCAGGGGGGAAUAUUGCACAAUGGGCGGAAGCCUGAUGCAGCAACGCCGCGGGCGGGAUGACGGCCUUCGGGUUGUAAACCGCUUUCGCCUGUGACGAAGCUUGAGUGACGGUAAUGGGUAAAGAAGCACCGGCUAACUACGUG